GGACUACAAGUAUAUGCUUCUGGUUUUGCAAAUGAUAUUUAUUCAAGCUAUAGUUAUAACUUUGAGCCCGAAGCUGAGUACCUCACGUUCAUUGACAAUUCCCAGUUCGCUGUUGAUGGAUUUAUCACAGACUUUCCUACUACAGCAACAGAAGCCAUCGGUGAGAUUGAUAUACUUUUCAUUGUCUAUAGCCAAAGAAACCAAAUUUGAGCCAUUAGAACAAGAAGAAUACAACUGCUGCAAUCUAAACCUAGGCUCCAACUGAUUUUAAUUUUUUUUUCCCCCUAAUGGAUGCAGUGUGCUUUGCACUUACCAACCUCAACGAAACAAGGAAAGGUAAAACACUAGCUAGUCCUAUUGUUAUCUAAUUAAAGCUUAUUGUGACAUCCAUAUUAUGACAUCAACUAAAAUUGAUAGAAAUUAAUAGAAAGUGAAGAGGAUAAAUAAUAUAAUUCUAUACUUUUUGCAGAUAGACCUUUGAUCAUAACUCAUAAUGGAGCAAGUGGGGUUUAUGCCGGCUGCACUGAUCUUGCUUAUCAGCAAGCAGUAGAUGAUGGAGCUGACAUAAUUGAUUGCACUGUCCAAAUGUCCAAGGAAGGCGUUGCUUUCUGUUUGGAAUCACCAGACCUCAUAGGAAAAACAACUGCAGCAACAGUUUUCAUGUCUAAAGCAACCAGUGUUCCUGAAAUUCAAAAGGAAAGAGGAAUCUUUUCAUUUGAUCUCACAUGGACUGAGAUUCAAUCCUUAAAGCGUAAACUUCUUCUCUUACAAGUUAGCUAGCUUGAGUAAUUGAGAAAUAAUCACCUAGUCCUCUGACUUAAUAGCGCCAAAUAUUUGUUAUUUCAGCUCAAAUCUCCAGCCCUUUUGACAAAUCUAAUCCUCCCAUCAUAAGAAAUCCAGAGGCCAAGAACAAGGGUAAGUUUGUGACCCUUGACGGAUUUCUGGAGUUCGCAAAGACCAAGGCAGUUUCUGGAGUUUUGAUCAACAUCAAUGUAAGGAGCAUAUGUACACACACACACACACACGUUUGCUAGCUCAUUGACAAGUUCAUAAUCCCGCGGGCGUCAGCAUUAUUAAAAUGUAACAAAUUAAAUCUUUGUUUGUCAUGAUUAGAAUGCUGCUUACCUAGCAUCAAAGAAGGGCCUUGGUGUUGUAGAUGCAGUGACCAAAGCUCUGAGUAAUGCCACCUUUGACAAGCAAUCCACUCAGCAAGUCAUGAUCCAAUCAGAUGACAGUUCAGUGUUGUCCAAAUUCAAAGAUG
RNAcentral lists this long non-coding RNA (1261 nucleotides) under Citrus x clementina. RNAcentral's name for it is "Citrus clementina (C. clementina) long non-coding RNA (CCLE_LNC006901)". The record is from RNAcentral. Lineage: Eukaryota; Viridiplantae; Streptophyta; Magnoliopsida; Sapindales; Rutaceae.